Molecule: unclassified non-coding RNA, 433 nt
Filed under: soil metagenome
Description: partial contains 5.8S ribosomal RNA, internal transcribed spacer 2, and large subunit ribosomal RNA
Rfam family: 5.8S ribosomal RNA (bases 1-120)
Source: RNAcentral
GAUGAAGAACGUAGCGAAAUGCGAUACGUAAUGUGAAUUGCAGAAUUCAGUGAAUCAUCGAAUCUUUGAACGCAUAUUGCGCUCUCUGGUAUUCCGGAGAGCAUGCUUGUUUGAGUAUCAGUAAACACCUCAACUUCCAUAUCUUUUUUGAAAUGGGAGUUGGACUUGAGUGAUCCCAACGCUUUUCCUCACCGAAAAGUGGCGGGUUACUUGAAAUGCAGGUGCAGCUGGACUUUUCUCUGAGCUAUAAGCAUAUCUAUUUAGUCUGCCUAAAAAACAGAUUAUUACCUUUGCUGCAGCUAACAUAAAGGAGAUUAGUUCUUGUGCUGACUGAUGCAGGAUUCACAAAGACAGGCUUCGGCCGACUUUGUAAACUCGAUCUCAAAUCAAGUAAGACUACCCGGUGAACUUAAGCAUAUCAAUAAGCGGAGGA